RNAcentral lists this long non-coding RNA (1362 nucleotides) under Salmo salar (Atlantic salmon). Its description in RNAcentral is "lncRNA (ENSSSAG00000120786.1)". The record is from RNAcentral. Lineage: Eukaryota; Metazoa; Chordata; Actinopteri; Salmoniformes; Salmonidae.
CUGCCAGCCAGUCUGGAGCCGCCAGCCAGUCUGGAGCCGCCAGAGCCGCCAGCCAGUCUGGAGCCGCCAGAGCCGCCAGCCAGGCCGGAGCCGCCAGGGACAUCAGCCAGGCGAGCGCAGCAAGUGUCGCCCGCCAGCCGGGCGCAGCCAGGGUCGCCCGCCAGCCGGGCGCAGCAGGAAUCGCCAGCCGGGCGCAGUCAGGGUCGCCCACCAGUCCUCCGACGCGGCCAGGGGCGCCACCUAAGUGGGCGACGCCGAGGGUGGAGCGGGGUCCACGUCCCGCACCUGAUCCGCCUCCAAUAUAGUUGUGACAGAACUACCCACCACAACAGGACCAAGCAGCGGAGGAAAUCUGGCGAGGACCGGGGAAAACGGCUGGUAAGGGAGCCCGAGAGGCAGCCCCAAUAAUUUUUUUUGGGGGGGCACAAGGGCAGUUUGGCAGGGCGAGGAUGGAGCCCCAGGCCAGCUCCCCGUACCAUUUUUGGGCAGACACGAACUGGACAGGUCCCGUGCUUUGGGGUGAUGGGUACUGUGACGAGGCUGAGCAUUUUCAGGCCGGUAUGCGCAGUGCCAGCGCCCCGCAUGUGCCAGGGGAAAGUGGGCAUCCAGCCAGUAGGGGUGAUGCCAGCCCUGUGCUCGAGACCGCCAGUGCGCCUCUACGGUCCAGUGUUUCCCGCUACACGCACUAGCCUUGAGGUGCGUGUCUCCAGGCUGGCAUGUCCAGUACCAGCCCCACGCAUCAGGCUUCUAGUGCGUCAGCCCAGCCUCGCUAUUCUGGAGCCGCCAGAGCCGCCAGCCAUUCUGGAGCCGCCAGAGACGCCAGCCAGUCUGGAGCCGCCAGAGCCGCCAGUCAGUCUGGAGCCGCCAGAGCCGCCAGCCAGUCUGGAGCUGCCAGCCAGUCUGGAGCCGCCAGCCAGUCUGGAGCCGCCAGAGCCGCCAGCCAGUCUGGAGCCGCCAGAGCCGCCAGCCAGGCCGGAGCCGCCAGGGACAUCAGCCAGGCGAGCGCAGCAAGUGUCGCCCGCCAACCGGGCGCAGCCAGGGUCGCCCGCCAGCCGGGCGCAGCAGGAAUCGCCAGCCUGGCGCAGUCAGGGUCGCCCACCAGUCCUCCGACGCGGCCAGGGGCGCCACCUAAGUGUGCGACGCUGAGGGUGGAGCGGGGAUGAACACUAACUCCGCUGCACCUUGAUCCCAUUCUCUUUUCCACGACAGUUGUGACAGGUGUAGGCAAUCAUUGUAAAUAAGAAUUUGUUCUGAACUGACUUGCCUAGUUAAAUAAAGGUUACAUUUAAGUAAAUGUAAUUGCUAAAAUAUACUUAAGUAUCAAAAGUAAAAGUAAAAAUAACUUGAAAUUCCUUAUAUUAA